RNAcentral lists this ribosomal RNA (460 nucleotides) under uncultured bacterium. Its description in RNAcentral is "partial 16S ribosomal RNA". It matches the Rfam family "Bacterial small subunit ribosomal RNA", at positions 338 to 795 of the family's 1533-position model. The record is from RNAcentral.
CCUACGGGAGGCUGCAGUGAGGAAUAUUGGUCAAUGGGCGCGAGCCUGAACCAGCCAAGUCGCGUGAGGGAGGACGGCCCUACGGGUUGUAAACCUCUUUUGCCGGGGAGCAACGGGCGUCACGUGUGGCGCCACUGAGAGUACCCGGAGAAAAAGCAUCGGCUAACUCCGUGCCAGCAGCCGCGGUAAUACGGGGGAUGCGAGCGUUAUCCGGAUUUAUUGGGUUUAAAGGGUGCGUAGGCGGAUCGUUAAGUCAGUGGUCAAAUUGAGGGGCUCAACCCCUUCCCGCCAUUGAAACUGGCGUGCUUGAGUCCGCGGAAAGCAGGCGGAAUUCGUCGUGUAGCGGUGAAAUGCUUAGAUAUGACGAAGAACCCCGAUUGCGAAGGCAGCUUGCUGCAGCGGAACUGACGCUGAUGCUCGAAAGCGCGGGUAUCGAACAGGAUUAGAUACCCGAGUAGUC